CCGCCAUGGAGCCGCAGGAACGGCAGGAUCUGCGCCCGCUCUACCGCCUGGUGCUGGUCGCUGUGGUGCUGCUUUCCUGGUUCUCCGUCCUGUACGGGGCGCGGGAGGCAGCACGGCGGCAGCUGCAGAGCGAGCAGGCGGUGCCUCGGCUGCCCUAGGCGGAGGCGGAGAGGCCGAAGGACGGCGGCGUGGUCUCCGAGGGAGCCGUCGGAGGACGGGAGAAGUUGCUUGGCCAACUGGGCGAAUAAAGGCUAAGCUGUCUUUAAGAAAAAAAAAACGACAAACUUAAAAAAAAAAAGUUGGCUCCUUACUGAUUUGUUACAUCGUGUUGGGGAGAGAGAGGCAGGCAGAGAUAGUGAGGCUGCAGUCAGCAGGCUGCCUUCCACAACAUCUGUGUAUAGAAUUGUGGAAACAUAAAAUGGUUUGAGUUGGAAGGGACUGUUAAAGGCCAUCCAAUGCACAUCUCCUGCAAUGAACAGGGACGCCUACAGCUCCGUCAGGGUGUCAGAGCGCAGUCCAGCCUGGCCUUGAGUGUCUCCAGGGACAGGGCAUCCAGC
Molecule: long non-coding RNA, 557 nt
Filed under: Gallus gallus (chicken)
Lineage: Eukaryota; Metazoa; Chordata; Aves; Galliformes; Phasianidae
Description: long non-coding RNA NONGGAT012054
Source: RNAcentral